GACGAACGCUGGCGGCGUGCUUAACACAUGCAAGUCGAACGGAAAGGCCCUGCUUUUGUGGGGUGCUCGAGUGGCGAACGGGUGAGUAACACGUGAGUAACCUGCCCUUGACUUUGGGAUAACUUCAGGAAACUGAGGCUAAUACCGGAUAGGAGCUCCUGCUGCAUGGUGGGGGUUGGAAAGUUUCGGCGGUUGGGGAUGGACUCGCGGCUUAUCAGCUUGUUGGUGGGGUAGUGGCUUACCAAGGCUUUGACGGGUAGCCGGCCUGAGAGGGUGACCGGCCACAUUGGGACUGAGAUACGGCCCAGACUCCUACGGGAGGCAGCAGUGGGGAAUAUUGCACAAUGGGCGGAAGCCUGAUGCAGCAACGCCGCGUGCGGGAUGACGGCCUUCGGGUUGUAAACCGCUUUCGCCUGUGACGAAGCGUGAGUGACGGUAAUGGGUAAAGAAGCACCGGCUAACUACGUGCCAGCAGCCGCGGUGAUACGUAGGGUGCGAGCGUUGUCCGGAUUUAUUGGGCGUAAAGGGCUCGUAGGUGGUUGAUCGCGUCGGAAGUGUAAUCUUGGGGCUUAACCCUGAGCGUGCUUUCGAUACGGGUUGACUUGAGGAAGGUAGGGGAGAAUGGAAUUCCUGGUGGAGCGGUGGAAUGCGCAGAUAUCAGGAGGAACACCAGUGGCGAAGGCGGUUCUCUGGGCCUUUCCUGACGCUGAGGAGCGAAAGCGUGGGGAGCGAACAGGCUUAGAUACCCUGGUAGUCCACGCUGUAAACGGUGGGUACUAGGUGUGGGGUCCAUUCCACGGGUUCCGUGCCGUAGCUAACGCUUUAAGUACCCCGCCUGGGGAGUACGGCCGCAAGGCUAAAACUCAAAGGAAUUGACGGGGCCCCGCACAAGCGGCGGAGCAUGCGGAUUAAUUCGAUGCAACGCGUAGAACCUUACCUGGGUUUGACAUGGAUCGGGAGUGCUCAGAGAUGGGUGUGCCUCUUUUGGGGUCGGUUCACAGGUGGUGCAUGCCUGUCGUCAGCUCGUGUCGUGAGAUGUUGGGUUAAGUCCCGCAACGAGCGCAACCCUUGUUCACUGUUGCCAGCACGUUAUGGUGGGGACUCAGUGGAGACCGCCGGGGUCAACUCGGAGGAAGGUGGGGAUGACGUCAAGUCAUCAUGCCCCUUAUGUCCAGGGCUUCACGCAUGCUACAAUGGCUGGUACAGAGAGUGGCGAGCCUGUGAGGGUGAGCGAAUCUCGGAAAGCCGGUCUCAGUUCGGAUUGGGGUCUGCAACUCGACCUCAUGAAGUCGGAGUCGCUAGUAAUCGCAGAUCAGCAACGCUGCGGUGAAUACGUUCCCGGG
RNAcentral lists this ribosomal RNA (1343 nucleotides) under uncultured bacterium. Its description in RNAcentral is "16S ribosomal RNA". It matches the Rfam family "Bacterial small subunit ribosomal RNA", at positions 28 to 1378 of the family's 1533-position model. The record is from RNAcentral.